CUACUGUAUAACUGUAAAUAUUAAAUUAAUUAUUAAAUUAUAUUUACUAUUCAAGGUGGUGAAUCCAGCUUUUUUGGUGAAUAAUUAUGUUGAAUAAUUUUGUAUGGUGCCCCAACCUCAGCGCAUUUUUAAACUCCCACCUCUCCUCUUUACGAACGGUGAUGAUUGGAGGGUUUCCUUCAGCACCUGAUGCUGCUGCAUCUAUUGCAAUAUCAACACUUACCUAGGACUGAUUCUACAUAAGGUCAAGAAACUCAACAAUCAUGAUGGUUCUCAUUCUAUUCUGUAUAACUAUUAAAGUGAUACAGGUCACAGGUUCUUCUCUCAGUGACAAAGUUCACCAGACUCCAGCUGCUGUGCACCACAAACCAGGAGAAGCCGCUGAAAUUAACUGUUCCCACAGUAUUGACAGCUACGACAGAAUCUACUGGUACAGGCGGUUCAACGACAGGCAGCUGCACUUCUUGGGAUACUUGAACAUUAUCUAUGGUUACCCCGAACCUGGACUCAACGUAAAAAUGACAGGGGAUGCAAAUAAAAACAAAACCGCCACGUUGAGCGUGUUAGACCUGACCCCCAACAUCAGUGCCGUGUAUUUUUGUGCUGCUAGUUUACACACUGCUACAGAUCACACCACCACAGAACCAAAACCUCACCAUCACAUUAUGGUUUUCUUUCACAAGGUGGCGCAUGACUUUAAAUCCGACCUUUAUGCAAAGAGGGAAAAAGGACCGAUGACAAAUGUUGUGACAACCCCCACACAGCUCAGCUUCAAUGAGCUCAGAGUCUUUUGCCAAAAGAGAGGAAGAAACUAUGAACUCUAACAGUUCCACUGUCUUCUACACUCAUUAACAAAGAAAAGGACAACAGGCAACAUGAACAUUGCUUUCUUAAUCAUAGCAUUCAACACUGUGCUGAAUCCAGGUAACUGAUUUUACUACAUUUGUCAGGAGAACCUGCACUUUGGUGACCUUUUACCAACACAUUAAUGGAAUUCAUUAUUUGAGUUCAACAGGUUCCUCGAUCCAAGUCCAGCAAACUCCAGACCAAAUCUGCAAAUAUCCACGACAAUCAGCCACAAUCAGCUGUUUACAC
Non-coding RNA from Cynoglossus semilaevis (tongue sole), 1095 nucleotides. The record is from the annotation of a RefSeq genome assembly. NCBI's taxonomy places the organism in Eukaryota, Metazoa, Chordata, Actinopteri, Pleuronectiformes, Cynoglossidae.